This 492-nucleotide ribosomal RNA is filed under the name uncultured bacterium. RNAcentral describes it as "partial 16S ribosomal RNA". It matches the Rfam family "Bacterial small subunit ribosomal RNA", at positions 29 to 507 of the family's 1533-position model. The record is from RNAcentral.
AGUGAACGCUGGCGGUAGGCCUAACACAUGCAAGUCGAACGGCAGCACAGUAAGAGCUUGCUCUUACGGGUGGCGAGUGGCGGACGGGUGAGGAAUACAUCGGAAUCUACUUUUUCGUGGGGGAUAACGUAGGGAAACUUACGCUAAUACCGCAUACGACCUACGGGUGAAAGCAGGGGAUCUUCGGACCUUGCGCGAUUGAAUGAGCCGAUGCCGGAUUAGCUAGUUGGCGGGGUAAAGGCCCACCAAGGCGACGAUCCGUAGCUGGUCUGAGAGGAUGAUCAGCCACACUGGAACUGAGACACGGUCCAGACUCCUACGGGAGGCAGCAGUGGGGAAUAUUGGGCAAUGGGCGAAAGCCUGAUCCAGCCAUACCGCGUGAGUGAAGAAGGCCUUCGGGUUGUAAAGCCCUUUUGUUGGGAAAGAAAAGCAGCAGGUUAAUACCCCGCUGUUCUGACGGUACCCAAAGAAUAAGCACCGGCUAACUUCGUG